RNAcentral lists this ribosomal RNA (402 nucleotides) under uncultured bacterium. RNAcentral's name for it is "bacterial SSU rRNA". It matches the Rfam family "Bacterial small subunit ribosomal RNA", at positions 355 to 774 of the family's 1533-position model. The record is from RNAcentral.
UGGGGAAUAUUGGACAAUGGGCGCAAGCCUGAUCCAGCCAUGCCGCGUGAGUGAUGAAGGCCUUAGGGUUGUAAAGCUCUUUUGUCCGGGAGGAUAAUGACCGUACCGGAAGAAUAAGCUCCGGCUAACUUCGUGCCAGCAGCCGCGGUAAUACGAAGGGAGCUAGCGUUGUUCGGAAUUACUGGGCGUAAAGCGCAUGCAGGCGGAUCGUUAAGUCGGGGGUGAAAUCCCAGGGCUCAACCCUGGAACUGCCUUCGAUACUGGCGAUCUUGAGUCCGGGAGAGGUGAGUGGAACUCCGAGUGUAGAGGUGAAAUUCGUAGAUAUUCGGAAGAACACCAGUGGCGAAGGCGGCUCACUGGCCCGGUACUGACGCUGAGAUGCGAAAGCGUGGGGAGCAAACA